RNAcentral lists this ribosomal RNA (277 nucleotides) under uncultured bacterium. RNAcentral's name for it is "partial 16S ribosomal RNA". It matches the Rfam family "Bacterial small subunit ribosomal RNA", at positions 28 to 296 of the family's 1533-position model. The record is from RNAcentral.
GAUAAACGCUGGCGGCGUGCCUAACACAUGCAAGUCGAACGCUCUAUCGUCUUUCGGGACGGCAGAGAGUGGCGGACGGGUGAGGAACACGUGGGUGACCUACCUUUCAGUGAGGAAUACCGGCGAGAAAUCGCCGACAAGACCGCAUACGCUUGUCUGCUCAUGCAGGCAAGGAAAGCUGCUUCGCACGAGGUGGCGCUGGAAGAUGGGCCCGCGGCCGAUUAGCUAGCUGGUGGGGUAAUGGCCUACCAAGGCUACGACGGGUACCCGGCCUGAA